ACUUCCAUAAAAUACUAGAGAUGAUUCCAGAUACAUAAUAAUUGUUGUUUCUUCAAGCAGAGCUGGGAGGCAGAGAGGACAGAAUCUGCAUGAAUGUGGUGACUUCAGUAGACCCUAAUAGGAAGUUCAAAUAAUACAGUAUAUGUAUAACAGCAUUUCAGCCAGGGAGGAAGAAGAGAACCUGACUACCGAACCAGAAGGGAAAACUGCUACACACCACCCUGAUUAUUAGGCACAGAGAAGACAUCUUUGCCAUCCUCAUAGUAGGCAGGUUGCCGCCUGCAGCCCUAUCUGACAUCUGCUGCUACAGACCACUGUGGAUGCUGAAUUCUGGAGCUGUCUUCCCUUGCUGCCUCCUCUUUAGCUGUUCUUCUAGAUUUCCUGAACAACUCAGAGAGAUCACCUAAGGACACAGAGCCUCAUAAAUCAAAGGCUUUCAAGCAGACAGGCGCAAGAUGAGGAACUUUUGAUCAGAAACUGGUCAGACAUUCCCAGAGUGGUUGAGAGCCUGUCAAGGUCACUGCCAAGGACAAGAGAGUCAAUUAGUAUGCAGAUCAGAGGCAAGGAGUUCAAAGUUUGUGUCCAGCCUUCCUCUAUCAUGCAUGCUGUAACUUCUGCCAGUGAUAUCAGCCCACAGUAAGUCAACCUGGGCAGAGUACAAGGUGAAAGAAUAUUUCAAUCUAAACUGCAUAUCCCUUCUGUGUUUUCUGAUUAAAAUUUGCAAGUAA
RNAcentral lists this long non-coding RNA (728 nucleotides) under Gopherus agassizii (Agassiz's desert tortoise). RNAcentral's name for it is "lncRNA (ENSGAGG00000008454.1)". The record is from RNAcentral. Lineage: Eukaryota; Metazoa; Chordata; Testudines; Testudinidae.